Molecule: ribosomal RNA, 766 nt
Filed under: Staphylococcus aureus
Lineage: Bacteria; Bacillati; Bacillota; Bacilli; Caryophanales; Staphylococcaceae
Description: bacterial SSU rRNA
Rfam family: Bacterial small subunit ribosomal RNA
Source: RNAcentral
GAUGAACGCUGGCGGCGUGCCUAAUACAUGCAAGUCGAGCGAACGGACGAGAAGCUUGCUUCUCUGAUGUUAGCGGCGGACGGGUGAGUAACACGUGGAUAACCUACCUAUAAGACUGGGAUAACUUCGGGAAACCGGAGCUAAUACCGGAUAAUAUUUUGAACCGCAUGAUUCAAAAGUGAAAGACGGUCUUGCUGUCACUUAUAGAUGGAUCCGCGCUGCAUUAGCUAGUUGGUAAGGUAACGGCUUACCAAGGCAACGAUGCAUAGCCGACCUGAGAGGGUGAUCGGCCACACUGGAACUGAGACACGGUCCAGACUCCUACGGGAGGCAGCAGUAGGGAAUCUUCCGCAAUGGGCGAAAGCCUGACGGAGCAACGCCGCGUGAGUGAUGAAGGUCUUCGGAUCGUAAAACUCUGUUAUUAGGGAAGAACAUAUGUGUAAGUAACUGUGCACAUCUUGACGGUACCUAAUCAGAAAGCCACGGCUAACUACGUGCCAGCAGCCGCGGUAAUACGUAGGUGGCAAGCGUUAUCCGGAAUUAUUGGGCGUAAAGCGCGCGUAGGCGGUUUUUUAAGUCUGAUGUGAAAGCCCACGGCUCAACCGUGGAGGGUCAUUGGAAACUGGAAAACUUGAGUGCAGAAGAGGAAAGUGGAAUUCCAUGUGUAGCGGUGAAAUGCGCAGAGAUAUGGAGGAACACCAGUGGCGAAGGCGACUUUCUGGUCUGUAACUGACGCUGAUGUGCGAAAGCGUGGGGAUCAAACAGG